Molecule: non-coding RNA, 494 nt
Organism: Drosophila melanogaster (fruit fly)
Lineage: Eukaryota; Metazoa; Arthropoda; Insecta; Diptera; Drosophilidae
Source: Ensembl
AUACAAAAGUAUUAAAACUACAAUUAAAUAAUAAAUUUUCAUUUCACUUGUAGAAAAAACAGUCGAGAUUAUUCUUUAUAAUAAUAAUCAUUUCAGGGAUAUGGUACUGCCAUCAAGAUUUUCCUUUCCGCAGAGCAUCUGCCUCGGGAAGUGCAGUCAAGAAUCGUGUGGGGCAUGCAGUCAGCCGGCUGGGGCAUGUUAAUUUGUCAUGAUGCCACUUGCUUACUAGUUCUGCUUGUGGUCCACUCAUCCGGCGACCAGCCAGGAACACUCGUGCUGCAUACGGAAAUUACACAACAAAUGGACUUUGGACUUUGGACACGGGACUGGAGCUGGCUGAGGCUGAUGUUCGUUUUUCUGGAAUCAGGAGAACAACCUGAAAUCUGGCCAAAUCCGAUUAAAUGCAAAUGGCCCCGCAACCCCGACGCACGUAGUCACACAUCCAUAGCGCAGAUUAGUUGCGUAAGUUAUCAGUGGGAAGUGAAAGGAGUGCG